AUUGAACGCUGGCGGCAUGCCUUACACAUGCAAGUCGAACGGUAACAGGUCUUCGGAUGCUGACGAGUGGCGAACGGGUGAGUAAUACAUCGGAACGUGCCUAGUAGUGGGGGAUAACUACACGAAAGAGUGGCUAAUACCGCAUGAGAUCUACGGAUGAAAGCAGGGGAUCGCAAGACCUUGUGCUACUAGAGCGGCCGAUGGCAGAUUAGGGAGUUGGUGGGAUGAAAGCUUACCAAGCCGACGAUCUGUAGCUGGUCUGAGAGGACGAUCAGCCACACUGGGACUGAGACACGGCCCAGACGCCUACGGGGGGCAGCAGUGGGGAAUUUUGGACAAUGGGCGAAAGCCUGAUCCAGCAAUGCCGCGUGCAGGAUGAAGGCCUUCGGGUUGUAAACUGCUUUUGUACGGAACGAAAAGCCCCGGGUUAAUACCCUGGGGUCAUGACGGUACCGUAAGAAUAAGCACCGGCUAACUACGUGCCAGCCGCCGCCGUAA
This 498-nucleotide ribosomal RNA is filed under the name uncultured bacterium. Its description in RNAcentral is "partial 16S ribosomal RNA". It matches the Rfam family "Bacterial small subunit ribosomal RNA", at positions 30 to 523 of the family's 1533-position model. The record is from RNAcentral.